GAUGAACGCUGGCGGCGUGCCUAAUACAUGCAAGUCGAGCGAACAGACGAGGAGCUUGCUCCUCUGACGUUAGCGGCGGACGGGUGAGUAACACGUGGAUAACCACCCUAUAAGACUGGGAUAACUUCGGGAAACCGGAGCAAUUCCCGGAUAAUAUAUUGAACCGCAUGGUUCAAUAGUAAAAGACGGUUUUGCUGUCACUUAUAGAUGGAUCCGCGCCGCAUUAGCUAGUUGGUAAGGUAACGGCUUACCAAGGCAACGAUGCGUAGCCGACCUGAGAGGGUGAUCGGCCACACUGGAACUGAGACACGGUCCAGACUCCUACGGGAGGCAGCAGUAGGGAAUCUUCCGCAAUGGGCGAAAGCCUGACGGAGCAACGCCGCGUGAGUGAUGAAGGUCUUCGGAUCGUAAAACUCUGUUAUUAGGGAAGAACAAAUGUGUAAGUAACUAUGCACGUCUUGACGGUACCUAAUCAGAAAGCCACGGCUAACUACGUG
This 497-nucleotide ribosomal RNA is filed under the name uncultured bacterium. RNAcentral's name for it is "partial 16S ribosomal RNA". It matches the Rfam family "Bacterial small subunit ribosomal RNA", at positions 28 to 507 of the family's 1533-position model. The record is from RNAcentral.